GUGUUUGUUUCGGCAGCACAUAUACUAAAAUUGAAACCAUACGGGGAAGAUUAGCAUGGCUCCUGCAUAAAAGUGACAUGCAAAUUCAUAAACUGUUUCAUAUUUUU
Neogale vison (American mink) is the source of this 107-nucleotide small nuclear RNA. Lineage: Eukaryota; Metazoa; Chordata; Mammalia; Carnivora; Mustelidae. The record is from Ensembl.